Molecule: ribosomal RNA, 312 nt
Filed under: Escherichia coli
Lineage: Bacteria; Pseudomonadati; Pseudomonadota; Gammaproteobacteria; Enterobacterales; Enterobacteriaceae
Description: bacterial SSU rRNA
Rfam family: Bacterial small subunit ribosomal RNA
Source: RNAcentral
GGGUAGAAUUCCAGGUGUAGCGGUGAAAUGCGUAGAGAUCUGGAGGAAUACCGGUGGCGAAGGCGGCCCCCUGGACGAAGACUGACGCUCAGGUGCGAAAGCGUGGGGAGCAAACAGGAUUAGAUACCCUGGUAGUCCACGCCGUAAACGAUGUCGACUUGGAGGUUGUGCCCUUGAGGCGUGGCUUCCGGAGCUAACGCGUUAAGUCGACCGCCUGGGGAGUACGGCCGCAAGGUUAAAACUCAAAUGAAUUGACGGGGGCCCGCACAAGCGGUGGAGCAUGUGGUUUAAUUCGAUGCAACGCGAAGAACC